UUCUCCAUCCGCCGCCAGCAUGCCCCACCUCUCCUCGGCCCCGUCAUCCGCCUCCACCUCCCCACCUCCACCUCUCCGCCCAAGAUCCAUGGCUACCGCGGUUGCACCGGCCCGAUGGAAGCGGCGACCAACCCUAGCCCCUAUGGCGCGCCUCUGCUGCUCACGACCUGGGCCAUGGAUCUGCGACAGGGGCCUCCCUCCUCCUCCCAAGCAGCGUAACUGCCUUGCAAUCUGAAGAUUUGGAGUAGCAAGCGCCGGAUGAGGAGAGGAUGAGGACCAUGACCCGUGGGAGGCCCGAGCUCAAUCUCUCUGGCGACGUCAAUGACCCGCACAAGAUCAGCAAGACCUCUCCGCCUCUUCACUUCAAUGGAAGUGGACCACCGGGACCACACACUCCAGCUCCACGAGCUGGACGAGCUCGAUGGCCAGGUCCUCCGCCCCGACCACCAUGAUUCCGCAGAGAACAAUAAGGUUGACCCCUUCUCGCUCUGUUUUUUCUUUUCUUUCUAAGUGAUUGCUACUCUGCUGGAACGUAGUUCUCCAGGGGCUAUCCUUUUCUCUUGGACUGAACCUGAGACAGAAAAUGUGGCCACUUUGUUCCUGGUACUCGUAAGCUACAGCCAACAAUAGACUAGUAUUGUUUGCUACUUCCUUUUUUCUUCUCUCACCAUGCGAGCACUAGUAGUGUAGAAUUUGUGAGAUCCGCUAGUUAGUUAAGCAACUAAUAAUUUAAUAAUUAAGUGCCCAUGAGAUGCUUCUGUUGGUUCCUUGGAUUUUUCUUCUUGUGGAAUAAAAGUAAUCCAUUAAUCUCACUCAAUCGUUUGACCAAGAGUAAGAUUGUUAACUAGGGCUGCUAUUACACUGCUUCUCUCUUAUAUAUUUGUGCAAACUUUCUAUCUGAUAUCAUCAUUUUGUUGAUCAGUCCUCCUCUCCUACUCUUGCUCUUGCGCUAAUUACGUACAAGUUUAGUGUCAGAUCCGUGAAAUGUACUUAAUACCAUCAUUUGGUUGCAGCAAAUAUUACAUAUUUUGUUCAUUGCACCUUGUCGUACUCACCAAUAUGGUAUUAUUUGCUGCCAUCUUGGAUUGUAACAAUUGGGUUUAUUUACUAUUAAUCUUUAAGAUUUUUCUCAUGCUAGUUUUCUUGUUUUUCUAGCCUGAACAAACUAACAUUGGUUUUCAUGGAGACAAAAUGAGAAGCGGAUUCAUUGAGGUAUUGGCUAUACAACAGAGGCUUCCCAGCAAUGGCGAUCCAUGGUGACGAAACACAGGAGGAUAUAUAGAAGUGCAUUUGUCUACAAACCUUUUCUAUUCUUCAUGGGAAUGGAGCUGAGCAUGUGAAAGCUUUAAAUCUUGCGCUCAUUUCUGUAUGAAUGGGUAGUGGGCUACAUAGUGCUACCCAACAUAAUCCGCGCCAUGACAUGAUGUGAUUGCCAUCAGGAGAGUUGACGAAGAACCUGAACAACAGCCUCGAAAGAUUAUAUGUUUUGUUGAUGUAAACUGGAUUGUAGUGCUUCGUAACGUUGUUGUGUGAUAUAUUUAGUGAAUCUAUGUUGUAAAUGAUCAUUACAAGGUGGAUUUGUAAACUGCUAUGUUGUAUAUACACAUAGAAUUUUUUUGAGAAAAAUAUACACAUACAGUUUGCUGCA
Long non-coding RNA from Triticum aestivum (bread wheat), 1648 nucleotides. RefSeq lists it as uncharacterized. The record is from RefSeq and is a predicted model, not a curated record. Lineage: Eukaryota; Viridiplantae; Streptophyta; Magnoliopsida; Poales; Poaceae. The transcript is spliced from 4 exons.